This 428-nucleotide long non-coding RNA is filed under the name Aotus nancymaae (Ma's night monkey). RNAcentral describes it as "lncRNA (ENSANAG00000039027.1)". The record is from RNAcentral. Lineage: Eukaryota; Metazoa; Chordata; Mammalia; Primates; Aotidae.
GCCCACAGACCCGCCCUGGCAGCCUGGCCCACCCCAAAUCAUGUGUGUGUGUUGGGGGUGUGGGGGCUAGUGGGGCAGAGGAUAAGCAGGCUAGAAGAGCCCACUCCUACCACUGCGAUCCAGGAGGUGCCUGCAACAGUUGCCUUCCCCCCCCCACUUCUACCGCCCCCAUGGAGAUGAAAACACUGAGGUUCAGAGACGUGAGCAGUAGCUUUCUCAAGGGCCCAGAGCCAAGAAGCGUUGAAGCUUAAAAGCACGCCGUAGCAGGGAAGAUCAAGCAAGUUCUGUGCCUAUCUGCAGGCGCAGCGAAGCUAAUACAUUCAGGCCACCAACCCGGUCCAGUCGAGAACCUAGAGAGAGAGGAGACUGCAGUCAACAUCCCAGAGAAUUCAUCUCACCCUCAUGCAGGAUGAUGCACUCCUCCAUUG